Molecule: long non-coding RNA, 468 nt
Organism: Oncorhynchus tshawytscha (Chinook salmon)
Lineage: Eukaryota; Metazoa; Chordata; Actinopteri; Salmoniformes; Salmonidae
Source: Ensembl
CUUUAUUUAACCAGGUAGGCUAGUUGAGAACACCUUUAUUUAACCAGGUAGGCUAGUUGAGAACACCUUUAUUUAACCAGGUAGGCUAGUUGAGAACACCUUUAUUUAACCAGGUAGGCUAGUUGAGAACAAACGUUCUCAUUUACAACUGCGACCUGGUCAAGAUAAAGCAAAAGCAGUGUGACAAAAACAACGACACAGAGUUACACAUGGAAUAAAACAAACGUACAGUCAAUAACACCAUAGAAAAAUCUACCCUGCAGUACUCUCCCAGUCAGGUUUGUGGUGCUGCCGGGGAGCGUCAUCACACCAUCCCCCCCCCCUAGUGGUUAGAGUGUAGAGGAGGCAGGUAGCCUAGUGGUUAGAGUGUAGAGGUGGCAGGUAGUCUAGUGGUUAGAGUGUAGAGGAGGCAGGUAGCCUAGUGGUUAGAGUGUAGAGGAGGCAGGUAGCCUAGUGGUUAGAGUGUAG